RNAcentral lists this ribosomal RNA (252 nucleotides) under uncultured bacterium. Its description in RNAcentral is "partial 16S ribosomal RNA". It matches the Rfam family "Bacterial small subunit ribosomal RNA", at positions 524 to 776 of the family's 1533-position model. The record is from RNAcentral.
UACGGAGGAUGCGAGCGUUAUCCGGAUUUAUUGGGUUUAAAGGGUGCGUAGGCGGAGUGCCAAGUCAGCGGUAAAAAUUCGGGGCUCAACCCCGUCGUGCCGUUGAAACUGGCGCCCUUGAGUGGGCGAGAAGUAUGCGGAAUGCGUGGUGUAGCGGUGAAAUGCAUAGAUAUCACGCAGAACCCCGAUUGCGAAGGCAGCAUACCGGCGCCCGACUGACGCUGAAGCACGAAAGCGUGGGUAUCGAACGGG